This 72-nucleotide transfer RNA is filed under the name Phrynosoma platyrhinos (Desert horned lizard). RNAcentral describes it as "tRNA-OTHER". The record is from RNAcentral. Lineage: Eukaryota; Metazoa; Chordata; Lepidosauria; Squamata; Phrynosomatidae.
GCCAGAAUGGCAUAGUGGUUUGAGUGUUGGACUAUGGCUCUGGAGAACAGGAUUCAAAUCCCCGCUCAGUCA